This is a long non-coding RNA of Medicago truncatula (barrel medic), 402 nucleotides long. RefSeq lists it as uncharacterized. The transcript is spliced from 3 exons. NCBI's taxonomy places the organism in Eukaryota, Viridiplantae, Streptophyta, Magnoliopsida, Fabales, Fabaceae. The record is from RefSeq and is a predicted model, not a curated record.
UCUUUCUUCAUCAUUCUCUCUUCCAUUGUUCGCUUAUUUCUCUGCAUCAUUUAUCAUAUCAAUCCUUGACACCUCCAUUGUUUUCUUCUCUCUUUCAUCCUAUCUACUAUCGAUCCUCUCUCUGCUUCUUCUAUUUGUAUCAUACACCUAUUUUUUCUCAUUUUUUUAACUACAAGGUUGCGGCGACCACCUUUGCCCAAAUUGACACCGCGUUGUACCGGCCACUUUCCCCUUUCGUACCACACCAACACAACUGGGCAUGAUGUAGGCGUUUCAGCCGCGCCAUCCGCUUUUUAUAAUAGAGCGUUUUGAAGAGCUUUACUUCGCAAUGGACGAGAACGAUUAUUCACAAUGAUCUGAUAUUGGAGGUCUGGGACAAUGAGGGUGACUUUGAUUUGCACA